Molecule: small nucleolar RNA, 78 nt
Organism: Carassius auratus (goldfish)
Lineage: Eukaryota; Metazoa; Chordata; Actinopteri; Cypriniformes; Cyprinidae
Product: small nucleolar RNA SNORD72
Source: Ensembl
AGCUUACCAGUGAUGUCCAAAAAUAAAUGUCUGAACAAAUGACUGUCCAGUGAUUACAGGUUUUAACUGAGGUAAGCC